RNAcentral lists this ribosomal RNA (253 nucleotides) under uncultured bacterium. RNAcentral's name for it is "partial 16S ribosomal RNA". It matches the Rfam family "Bacterial small subunit ribosomal RNA", at positions 524 to 776 of the family's 1533-position model. The record is from RNAcentral.
UACGGAAGGGGCUAGCGUUGUUCGGAAUUACUGGGCGUAAAGAGCGCGUAGGCGGCUUACCAAGUUGGGGGUGAAAUCCCGGAGCUCAACUCCGGAACUGCCUUCAAAACUGGUAGGCUCGAGUCCGGAAGAGGGGCGUGGAAUUCCCAGUGUAGAGGUGAAAUUCGUAGAUAUUGGGAAGAACACCGGUGGCGAAGGCGGCGUGCUGGGCCGGUACUGACGCUGAGGCGCGAAAGCGUGGGGAGCAAACAGG